GUUUGCACUCAUCGGGGAAGGGUGAGAACCUUCGACUAAGGUUCGAUUCGAGCGAAAGAGAGAGAACGUUGCCACAGGCAACGGCCCGAAGGGUGAGGAGCGAAGCGACGAAUAAUCCUUCCCCCACCACCA
Molecule: small RNA, 132 nt
Filed under: Escherichia coli
Lineage: Bacteria; Pseudomonadati; Pseudomonadota; Gammaproteobacteria; Enterobacterales; Enterobacteriaceae
Description: RtT sRNA
Rfam family: RtT RNA
About the family: This family represents a bacterial cis-regulatory element known as RtT RNA.
Source: RNAcentral